RNAcentral lists this ribosomal RNA (406 nucleotides) under uncultured bacterium. RNAcentral describes it as "partial 16S ribosomal RNA". It matches the Rfam family "Bacterial small subunit ribosomal RNA", at positions 30 to 526 of the family's 1533-position model. The record is from RNAcentral.
AUUGAACGCUGGCGGCAGGCCUAACACAUGCAAGUCGAGCGAGCGGCGGACGGGUGAGUAAUGUAUGGGAAACUGCCUGAUGGAGGGGGAUAACUACUGGAAACGGUAGCUAAUACCGCAUACCAUCAGAUGUACCCAGAUGGGAUUAGCUAGUAGGUGGGGUAACGGCUCACCUAGGCGACGAUCCCUAGCUGGUCUGAGAGGAUGACCAGCCACACUGGGACUGAGACACGGCCCAGACUCCUACGGGAGGCAGCAGUGGGGAAUAUUGCACAAUGGGCGCAAGCCUGAUGCAGCCAUGCCGCGUGUAUGAAGAAGGCCUUAGGGUUGUAAAGCACUUUCAGCGGGGAGGCGUUACCGACAGAAGAAGCACCGGCUAACUCCGUGCCAGCAGCCGCGGUAAUAC